UAUUUAACUGAUAGGCUAUCUGUCAGAAAGUGGGGACAAAAAUUUUUCGCAUCUUUAAUUGCCAUUAAAGUAAUUUUGGUACUCUUUAUUGAAUGCACUUUAGACUGUCUGGUUAUAAAUACAUACAUAAAUAUUAUCUUUAGAGGUUUGGAGCUUUUGUUGUGGCUUGCAGGAUUAGUUAUUUAAAGCUUCAGCCGGUGGAAAUUUCCCAUGCCGUUCCGCGCACGCUCAAUCAAAGCUUUAAUACGGAGAAGAGUCGAUUACAGCAUCAGUAUCCGCUGCUCGCUGCCCCAACACGAUCUGUCUAGGGACCGGCGCGAAAACAAUCUCAUGGAGCCACAGUUUCAGACGUAGCACGUCUUACCGAUCACUGGAUAAGAAACGCGCCGUUUUGAUCCUCAACAGAUCUGGUAGUCCACAUACAGCCAUGGGUAAAAAAGUCUUGCAGUGUUUUCCCUGGUACAAACGUUGUAAAGACAGGGGUAAAGGCAGGCUGUGCCCUCCUCCGGCUGUUCCAUCUGUUGAGGUGCAGCCUGGAUUCUCUCCGACAGUCUCCUGGGGUUAUGAUGGAGAGGAAAACGCUGUGCGUCCUGUGUAUUUUUCCCAUAAAGCGCGAGUAGCUUAUCGCCACCAGAUGGACGACAAUAUUAUUGACGCCACCUGCUGACCUCUGGGCUCCCUUCCCAGAAUUGCUCGCCUUUUACCUGCCUGUAGGGUUCCUGAACACAAUAAGAGGAACACUAGAAGCCUACUAGACAGUUCUGUCUAGUGUAAUUAAACUAAAUCUUUUGUAUUUGGUGAAAAUGUCACUUCCUCCGAAAUGGUAAAUUCUUAUCCUAUAGUUCCUCUAACCUCUUGCCAGAACUGGCGUCCACUUGUUUUGUUUGUACUUGUAUUGACACAGAGUGGAAAAAUACAUGGACUGAAGUGGACGCCUAGUGUUGUAAAUAAAAAUACAUUGUAUGUUUGUCAUGCAUAUGUGAUCCUGGAUGUUUGAUUUCCUGUUGUUUUUUCAUUGUCACCAAGACAUGCUUGGUUUUUCAGAGAUUCAUGAUAACAUUCAGGCAAAAGAGAAUAUUUUGUACCAAUCAUUGGGCUGAUCAUAUCAAAUUAAUAUACAUGUAGAUUCUGGAUUAUGUGAUGAUGUCUUGUUUCUUGUUCUGUAAUUCUGUCAAAGCAGUUUGAGUCUUGAAUGAAACUGUUUAUGGUAAAAUAUAUUUCUGUUGAAAAUCUGUUCGUGAGUCUCUGUUAAAUGCAAACUGUUCUUUUUUUUUAAUAAAAUGUCAUGAUGCAAAUAACAGUAAUGGUACAAAAAUAGGCUUCAUUUUUAUAUAUUGAUGCAAAAUAUAAUUUUCUUUCAAAAGAAGAAAAUAAAGACAUAUUUAACUUAAAGAAAAUGAAGCCUAUUUUUUGCAUCAUGACAUUAUUUUCAUGACAGUUAAGCAAGCAAUUAACAUUUUCCUUGCCAUAAUGCAGAACAAUCUCACUCUCAUCACUAUAAUGCAAAUACACUUUAAAGGAAUAGUUCACCGCCCCCCCCCCCCAAAAAAGACCCAAAAAUGACUUUUUACUAUAAAUCUCCACUUUCAUUUUCACUUUCUUUCACAUUUUGAAAGUGAAAGCGGAGAUUUAUAGUAAAAAAAAAAAGAAAGAAAGAAAAAAAGGACUUAAAUAAUGAUCUGAUUCUCAUCCACACUUACCAUACUGCAUAGCUUCAGAAGAUAUGGAUUUAACCACUGAGGUUUUAUGGAUUACUUUUAUGCUGCAUUUUUAUGCUUUUUGGAGCUUCAAAGUUUUGGACAUUCAGUUGCUUUGAACCUACAGAGCUGAGAUAUUCUACAAAAAAUCUUUGCUUGUGUUCACCAUAAGAAAGAAAGUCAUACACAUCUGGGAUGACAUAAGGGUGAGUAAAUGAUGAGAGAAUUUUCAUUUUGGGGUGAACUAUGUCUUUAUUUAUUUAUUUUUUUAAAAAUGUAACGUAAUUUAAAAAAAAUGUGCUUCAUGAGGCAACAUCCUAAAUGAACUGGUUUUAUUCGAGUCACAAAUGUUAUUUAAUCUGACUAAAUCAACCCCACAAAUUAAGUUACACCAACAAAAGUGAAUUUUAUGGGUUGGACAAAGUAGAAAUAGAUUCCGAGGUGACAACUGUAGGUGACCACUUUUCAGAGUAUAUUUACUGUACUGCCUUUAGCUUAUGCUGGUUUUUAAAAUCUAAAAUCAUUGUAUUAAAGUCAUUUUUACUGUUAUUCACUGAUGACUGUAUUACAGUAAUGAGAAUCUCCAUUGAGAAUACUGGGAAAUAAAAACUCAAAAGACAAACGAUACAUGACCAACACUGAUCUCUGCUGAUCUUUCUAUCAAACCACAAAGUAUAAAUGGCUCAGUGUCUUCAAGAACUGAAGAUACAAUUAUUGUUUGACCACACGAUCAUUUUAGUUUCCCCGAGUCAACACAAACCUUAUUACAUUGAGUUCAGAUAAGAGAUGGGCUUUUGUCGUCAGAAAGGACAUUGAGAGGGCAAAGCUGGAUAUAAAUUCCCUGGCUGCCAGACAUAGGAUGAGAAUUAGCACCAUUGUGACUUUGCAAAGCAUUAUCCGCUUUAGAUGUUGACGUCGAUGGCUGUCUCUCAAGAGUCUAAUGUGUGCGAUGAUAUAAGAGCUUUCCUUUUUUCUGAUAUAUAUAUAUAUAUAUAUCAUUUUAUUUUAUUUUAUUUUAAAUAUGAAGCUGGCGAUGUAACACAAUGGUGAUAUUUUAAUGUAAUACAGAGCAGCAGCAGCGAGACGCACUCUUUUGAGUUUUCGAGUCUCGAAUCGCUGUAAAUAUUUUGGCCAGUAGGUGCCGCUAGACAUUCAUGAUUUUACACGAUUAUGAAGUUUGAGAGAGACAGAAGGGCUGGGAAACUGAGUACUGCUUACUGCGCAGUUUACAAUGUGCCUUAUUUAGUAACUUGCAAAUUUCUAAGACUAUUAAUUGUGUUAAUUUACACUGGCAUUCAUUAAAAACGCGCAACACUACCGCGGUGGGGGUUCAAAUGCAGCUGCUGAGGUCUUUUCUCUCAUCUGACUGGUGUAAUCCAUUUCACUCUUUUUUCAUAAUUUGGAAAGUCGUGGAAACAUUAUUCUGGAUUUAAUAUUUUGCAGUUGGAGCAAAUGGGAAUGCAAAAAUUAAACUGGCUGUUGUCUUCCAUUUACUGCUAACAGGGAAAAGGGUUACAUUGUUGUCACAUGACCUCAUUCAGUUGCAUGUUUAAUUAAAGGAAUAUUCUGGGUUCAGUAGAAAGCAUUUGUGGCAUAAUGUUGAUUACCACAAAACUUUAUUUCGACUUAUCCCUCCUUUUCUUUAAAGGUGCAGUAUGUAACAAUUUUCAUGUAAUAUUAUUAUUAUAAUUUUUAUUUAUUUAUUUUUAUUUGUUUUGCCAAUGUGUGAACGGAUUGUAACGCAACUUAAAAAAUGAGCCCUUCCCGGACUUCCUAGGUUGCCUAUUAAAGUCUGUAGACUGAUUUUUAUAGGAAGGGAGCGGGUCGGUUUUGCCGGGAAAAUCCAAAGGACGUGACGUUUAUGCGCGCUCCCGAGAGCCUUGCCUGUGAAUCUCUUCCACUAUUCAACAGCAACAACAAACUGCAACACUAGGUAACGUUAUCUUAGAGAUGGAAUCCAGCAAACGUCCGGCUCCCAGCACAACACCGUCUCCUACACAAACUCUGAGUAAGCCAAAAAAAAUAAAAAAUAAUUUAUCUACUGAAUCCUGUCUGGCUAAGCGGGAACGUGAUCGUGGUCGAGCAAAAACUAGAGUGAACAUCGGCAGGGCAUUUGAUUCCUGGAGGGACCUUCGUUUGUUUUUGGGGAUCAAAACCAACCCUGAAUUGGCAUUCUUCUUAUUGGACAGGUAAGCUUACAUAACUGCAAAGCAUGUGAAAUAUAGUGCCAUAAGGAUUGAUCUGUGUAAUUUUAGCUAACUUGAUCUUGCCUGCUAACGCUCACAAAUUACAAGCUACCUUACUUCGUAACUUUCAAAUAAUUUCAGCGAUCUUCUCUUUAUACUAAAAGUCAGGUAUACAGGAUAAAUUUAAGCAAAUACGCUGGUUUCUUAUUCGUAGUACAACAUAUGACAUACAAAACAUACAAUAGUGCAACAUAACUGUGCAGUGCAACAGUAAACUGUCUGGUAUAGUUUGGUAGUAUGUAGCUGUAUGUGUGUAUCAGUAUGCUAUGUAUUCUAUGUUAGCUGAUAAGUAGUUUUAGUUUAAUCUCAAAGUUUGUAGUAAAACAAUCAACUGUGUAAUUUUAAUGAUGCUACCUCAUCUGUCAGCAUGAUGCCGGUGAAUCACGUUCAGUCUCUUUGUACGUUAUGUCAUUGUUUUGGAUGCUCGAUCGCUCGCGUCCCUAUGGAGUGUGUGCACAAGCGCGAGCACGAGCAACAGGUAGCUGGCUGCAGUUCACUUAACGGCCACAGGUGUCAUUAAUAACAAGGGUUUCUGAAUCUUACAUACUGCACCUUUAAAAAAAGGUUAAGACAGAUUGGACUCCAUUCACUUCCAUUGUAAGUGCCUCACUGGAACACAGAUUUUUGCUUAGAAAAGGAGGGACGAGUCGAAAUACUUUUUUGUGGUAAUCAACAUUAUGCCACAAAUACUGUCGAGUAAGUUUACUUGUGUUGAACCUGAAAUAUUCAUUAAGCGAGUGGUGUUCAGUACUAGGUAAUCUUGGAAAAAGAAGUGGUUAUUUUGCAUUAAUAAUGUUGACCUCAAAGUGCUGAACAAAACCAGAAAAACUAUGAGUUGCAGAUGUUAAAUAUUGCAGCUGAUAUUAUUUCCAAGUCGUUCAUCACAUAGUGCGCAGUAUGCAGUGUACUCCAGUUUUAUACUGCACAUUUUGUCAAAUGUACAGUUCAUCUGGUUAUUCCAUGCAUACAGAAAAUUUGCAUACUGACAGCAUACCGCAGAAAUAUUAAGAGUAGUAUGGUAUUCCAAACAUAGAGAGAGAGAGAGAGAGAGAGAGGUGUUAGCUAUAUUUUUAACACAUCACCAGUUUAGUAUAUGUUCAUGUUUUAAAUCAUAGGUGUAUUCUGUUCCAAACUAUCAG
Myxocyprinus asiaticus (Chinese sucker) is the source of this 5082-nucleotide long non-coding RNA. RefSeq lists it as uncharacterized. The transcript has 3 exons. The record is from RefSeq and is a predicted model, not a curated record. Lineage: Eukaryota; Metazoa; Chordata; Actinopteri; Cypriniformes; Catostomidae.